RNAcentral lists this ribosomal RNA (144 nucleotides) under Triticum aestivum (bread wheat). RNAcentral describes it as "partial small subunit ribosomal RNA". Lineage: Eukaryota; Viridiplantae; Streptophyta; Magnoliopsida; Poales; Poaceae. The record is from RNAcentral.
AUGGAUGGAAUCAAAUACGCUGUAUUUACAGAAAAAAGUCUUCGUUUAUUGGGAAAGAAUCAAUAUACUUUUAAUGUCGAAUCGGGAUUCACUAAGACAGAAAUAAAGCAUUGGGUCGAACUCUUCUUCCCCUGGAACCGAUGA